RNAcentral lists this unclassified non-coding RNA (370 nucleotides) under uncultured fungus. RNAcentral's name for it is "sequence contains ITS1". The stretch from base 1 to 105 matches the Rfam family "5.8S ribosomal RNA", at positions 50 to 154 of the family's 154-position model. Lineage: Eukaryota; Fungi. The record is from RNAcentral.
GAAAUGCGAUAAGUAAUGUGAAUUGCAGAAUUCAGUGAAUCAUCGAAGCUUUGAACGCACCUUGCGCUCCUUGGUAUUCCGAGGAGCAUGCCUGUUCGAGCGUCAUUACACCACUCAAGCUCUGCUUGGGUUUGGAUUUGGAUGUUUGCCGGUGAUGAACCGACUCAUCUUAAAAGUAUUAGCUGGAUCUGUCUAUAUGACUGGUUUGACUUGGCAUAAUAAGUAUUUUGCUGAGGACAUCUUCGGAUGGCCAGUACCUAGACUACUGUCUGCUAACUAAACCAUCACUUUAAGUGCAUCUUUGGAUGUUACUCAUUGUGUAACUUUGACAUCUGGCCUCAAAUCAAGUAGGACUACCCGCUGAACUUAA